GAUGAACGCUGGCGGCGUGCCUAAUACAUGCAAGUAGAACGCUGAAGGAGGAGCUUGCUCUUCUGGAUGAGUUGCGAACGGGUGAGUAACGCGUAGGUAACCUGCCUGGUAGCGGGGGAUAACUAUUGGAAACGAUAGCUAAUACCGCAUGACAACAGUUAUUGCAUGAUAACUGUUUAAAAGGGGCAACUGCUCCACUACCAGAUGGACCUGCGUUGUAUUAGCUAGUUGGUGAGGUAACGGCUCACCAAGGCGACGAUACAUAGCCGACCUGAGAGGGUGAUCGGCCACACUGGGACUGAGACACGGCCCAGACUCCUACGGGAGGCCGCAGUAGGGAAUCUUCGGCAAUGGACGGAAGUCUGACCGAGCAACGCCGCGUGAGUGAAGAAGGUUUUCGGAUCGUAAAGCUCUGUUGUAAGAGAAGAACGAGUGUGAGAGUGGAAAGUUCACACUGUGACGGUAUCUUACCAGAAAGGGACGGCUAACUACGUG
This 495-nucleotide ribosomal RNA is filed under the name uncultured bacterium. RNAcentral describes it as "partial 16S ribosomal RNA". It matches the Rfam family "Bacterial small subunit ribosomal RNA", at positions 28 to 507 of the family's 1533-position model. The record is from RNAcentral.